RNAcentral lists this long non-coding RNA (303 nucleotides) under Coffea arabica (coffee). Its description in RNAcentral is "long non-coding RNA (CARA_LNC007380)". Lineage: Eukaryota; Viridiplantae; Streptophyta; Magnoliopsida; Gentianales; Rubiaceae. The record is from RNAcentral.
CUCGGACUCUCUCUCUCUCGCCUUGCCUCGUUAAUGAAAACUCCCCCCCUAAUUUCCAGAUUUUUUGGUCUUUCUUUUCUUCUUUCCAAAUUUUUGCAGCCGUCACUCUCAAUAAAUCUCCCUCGUUAGUUUCUUUCUUUCUUUCCCGUUGGCUUACUCUCCAAAAUCUCUCUAUCUUUUCCUCAGUUUUCACUCUUUCUUUAGUCUCUCUCUUUUUGGCCCAGAUUUUUCUCCCUUCGUAGCUUUCUCUUCUCUCCUUCUUGCGUCUGUUUCCUUUUUCCUAUCCAUAUUUUCGGCUCUCCC